CACUAAGUGGCUGAGAAUAAGCACUGGUCUCUUAAACCAACUUACGGUAAAAUUACCCUUAGUGA
Non-coding RNA from Priapulus caudatus, 65 nucleotides. The record is from the annotation of a RefSeq genome assembly. NCBI's taxonomy places the organism in Eukaryota, Metazoa, Priapulida, Priapulimorpha, Priapulimorphida, Priapulidae.